ACUUUUUGUGCUUUAUCCCUUGCAGAUGCGGCUUGUUCUGCCCAACCGUAGUCAUAACGUCCUGUGGGUCCAGGCGGAUUCUGCGAGGAGGCAUUGGUAGUACGGCAUCGUCGGGGUUUUUCGUCUCGACAACGGUUGCCCACAAAUGCCUUUGACCUUGGGCGACUCGGACCACUCCGAUUAGCACAGAACAAAAAAUGUUUGCUUAGUUUCGAGCUUCUGUUUUGUUUAAGAACUUCUACGGAUCAAAAACGUGUGGGCCUUGUGGAUCGUGCCCUCCCAUGUGCUGUGGAAGCUUCUGUGGUGGCUGUCGCUGAGUAAUAACGACAAUCGACAGGAUCUUAGCCUUCCAUCAACGCUCUGGUGACAACUGCAGAAAGCUAGAGCUCAAAGCUGACUCCAAAAAAUAGCUUUAGACUAGUUUUAUGAUAGUUUUACAAAUAAACCAUUUAAAAAUAAAACAAUUACGAAUAUAAA
Long non-coding RNA from Drosophila pseudoobscura, 477 nucleotides. RefSeq lists it as uncharacterized. The transcript is spliced from 2 exons. The record is from RefSeq and is a predicted model, not a curated record. NCBI's taxonomy places the organism in Eukaryota, Metazoa, Arthropoda, Insecta, Diptera, Drosophilidae.